AAUAUUGAUGUCAGGACAAUUAAUUUAGGGACUGUAUAUAACCUUAAUAUAACUUUUUUGGCAGGCAGGCCUACUCUGCUUUCGUUUCGUUCACUACACUGCGUUUCUCUCUCUCUCUCGUUUGGCAUCGGCUGUGGGCUUCGCCUUCGGCGAUGACGGCCCCCAACAUCGAGACGAUCGCCGCCUCGCUGAGGAGCUGCUCGUUGGGGGGAGGCGGACGAGCCGAGCAGUCGCUGCCGCGGCCGCACCUCGUGGGGGCCAGCGGCGAGAGCAAUGAGGGGAUCACGGUGGAGUUGAACUCGGACGCCGCCCUCCCGUACCACCUUGACAUGCUGUUUGCAGUGUGCUUGGGAUUUUGCAGAUCAAUCAAUAAACCCUCCCAUCUCAUCACUCGUUAUCAUUUGGCCAAAUGAUCCCAAAUAACUAGCUGAGAGAUGACAAAUCAUCGAUGAUCGUGGUUGAAGUUGGAAGAACUUUCUCAGCCGUGCAACACCUGACGCAGGUAUUAAUUAUCGAACUAGUUUACCUGUAGAAGCUAAAACCUGAUCUCUCUCUCAAAUGGUGGCUUCUGGUUCUGCACUGCUGCAUGAAGUACCAGGUAGGGUUAGCGACAAUGAAGAAGAGUUCUGGGUCCCGCAUGAAGGAUAAAAGCCUCUUAGAGUAGCCAAGGAGACUGCCUACAGAAAACUCAAUACAAUUCAUGAUGUGCUUCGAUGGCAUGCAUCCUUGAAGAGACUGUAGGCAAGUCAUCCUUGGCUUGACAAAGACACUCUUAUCCUCAUGGAAGACCCUUCUUCUGCUCCAUAAUUUCAUAUAACAUAUUCUCUUGAUCUUCUCGGAUCAGUUUUCUGCAACUACACAAUCCUGUGCACAAAAAGAGAGACAUCAAGUUAGCAAUAUCUUCCUAGUUUAAUCCUUGGGAACAGUUCUAGUUGACAAGAGAUACAUUGACCUUGUUAGGUCUUUCAAGUUGGCAGGAGAUGACUUUAUCCAAGUCACAAGGAUUAGCAACUUGCUCAAAGUUGGAAAAGGACUCCAAAUCUUUCUGGAAAAAAUGUGUAUCUUCGUGAACUUUUUGUCUUGUCAUGCCUGGUGGCUAUACUAUUGGAAUCCAAUAGAUAUCAAUGAUAUCCACCACUUGCUCCCUCCAAAUCGCAUGACCCUUUGUGCAGGUUCUUACUGUUUAUUCUGAAGAGACGACCACUUAGCCUGCAUUACUCUGUCCCAAAUCUUAACCCAAUCAAUCGAAGCAUACAUGGCACCUGAUAGCUUAGACAUUAAAGCUUUCAUUCCAUGGAUUGGAGUCAUUGAACAGCAACACCACAGUCACUGCUCUGUUACACAGCUUUCAACCUUGGGCUUAGCUUUGUCUAUGCCCUGUCAAGAGCAAUUUCCAGGUGAACCAGUGAUCAGAACACUGACAGGUGUUUGCAGAGUAAUAUAUGGGAGGAAGAAAGAGCAGAAGGCGGUCACAUCUUUGAAAGUAAUGCAUGCUGCAUGAGUCCUAGAUUCUGUAAUUAAUAUGUCAGUCUUUAUCACUUCAUAUCUCCAUAAGCACAUGCAACUGUGUCUUCCACUAAAGAGCAUCGAGUCUUGGAAAUUCUUCUUAAACAGUUGCUCACUUUAUUCUCUUAUAUGCUGCAAAGAUCUGGAAAUGCUUUUUCUGUGAAUGAUUGCCAGACUGACAGUGGUUUCAAUCAGGUGAAUAUAAUUCCAGGGUCAUUUGUGAGCUGUUCAUCUGAAUGAAUCUUGCCUGUUGUUUGUUCAUGCAGGCAAAAAGCCAUACUUUAGCCUGAGUGAAACCAGAAUCUACAUCCACAUGAUCAGGCAUCAAGUCAUGCCAAAAUCUUCUCUCUCUGCAACUUCAUGGCAAGAUCAUUACAUUAAUGUUGGCCAUGUGCUAAUCAUAUUUUACUGGCAGCUUAAUUAUUGGAAGGUACCUCUUAGACCCCUCCAAAAUAGUUUUUUUUAUUAUGUGCAGUACAUGUUAAGCAAAUCAAGGUAUAUAUAUAAUUUUCUAGUCCAUGAAUUAUAUAUACUCUUAUAUUCAUGCAUACUUGUCCUAAUGAUCUAUGUAUUAGCAUCUUAUGAGUUAGAAAUCUGUGUCUUUUGAUUUAUUCUCAUAAUCAUUUCUCAUCUCUCUCUUGAGCCAACUCAAGAUGUCAAACUCUCGUCUAUUCCACGAGAAUCUCUCUCUAUUAUCUUUGUUUUCUUACCUUUGCAGAUCUUUCUCUUCACUUGCCACAACAAUUGAUGUUUGCCCUGCCACCAGCUUCCUGUAAGUUGACUGACUUCAUGAGAAGAAGCAGUAACAAUUAACGCACAAAAUAUUUGUCCUACCAUCAUUGGCUCUCCUGCAUUAGUUGGUGGACACUGCAUUUUCUCCAGCAAAUUCCCAACGUUUGUUCAUGAAUGGAUGCCGAAAUAAUGUCACCAAAAUCGUAUACUGUGGAUGCAUAAUCGGUGGGUCAAAAUCACAUUUCCCAAAGUCAACACAAAGUGGCAUCCUCCUUUCCACGGGUCAACGAGCCACGCCACCGUGACAUCCACGUCAAAGCCAAAAAGCUUAAAACGUGCACCCAUAAUAUACCCAUCAUUCUUCCUCUGCCCUGCACAUGCGUUCUCCCCUGAAACCACCUGUUUCCUAACCCAAGCCCGUUUAUGCCCAGAAUCGCACCGCCGAGUUUAAUCACCCGAUUGGUGAUGUGCACGUGGGACCCACUUGACGUCGUUCACCGGGCGUCGUCGAGUCUUUUAAGAAGUGGAUGGAAAGGUGACCGCGACUCCUUGCCUCCGCUUUACACCGGCUUUGAUUCCUUCGCUUCUUUUGGCUUUCGGUUUGGAUUCCACUGUGAACACUGUGACUUGCGGCUGCUAUUCGUCCUUUUGCUGCUUUCCCGAUGUGCCCCCGUGUUGCUGCCGCCAUGGAGGCUGCGCUCCCCGCCGACGAUGGCGACGAGCUCCCCCGCUGCCGCCACCUCCUCGCCUCCCUUUCCGCCGCCGCUUCCACCGCCCAGUCGUUCCGCGGCCUCUGGUCCUCCGUCGCCUCCGCGGUCUCCCGCCUGUCCGCGGCCCUCGACGGCCUCGCCGCCCACUCCCCUAACCCCCUCGCCUCGGACCUUCUUCGCUCCCUCGCCCUGACACUCGCCCCAGCCCUCGCCCUCGCCAUCCGCUGCCGUUCCCCUGACCCUCCCGCCGCCAGGCUCCGCACCCAGAGCGAUAUCGCGGCCGCUUCCGCCGCCCUCCACCAGCUAGCCGCCGACGCCGACGUCCUGCUCGGCUCUGGCGCCCUCCUCGACCCGCCGUCGCCGCCGCUGGAGGCAGCGGGUGGGAGCUCCCGCCUCGAGUCCGUCCGGGCGGAGGCCAGAAGCCUCGUGACCCGCCUCCAGAUCGGGAGUUCCGCUUCGAGGAUCGCUGCCUUGGAUUCUCUGCUCGACCUGCUUCGAGAGGACGACAAGAACGUCGUAGUCGCCGCCGCCAGCGGGUUGGUGCCGGCGCUGGUCCGUCUCCUCGACUCCGCCGCUGGCUCCGCCUCCUGCCACGAGACGAGGGAGAAAGCUGCGGCGGCGAUCGCGAGGAUCUCGGCCGUGCAGAGCUGCCGCCACCUCCUGCUGGCGGAAGGCCCGCCCCUCCUCAAUCACCUCUCCCGCGUCCUGGAGUCCGAGGGAGGCGCCGCAAAGGAGAAGGCCUGCGUGGCCCUCCAAACCCUAACGCUAACUUGGGAAAACGCGGUCAUCAUCGGGUCCCGCGGCGGGAUCGCAGCCCUCCUUGGGAUCUGCCGCUCAGGAACGCCCUCCGCCCAGGCCACCGCAGCCGCAGUGCUGAAGAACCUCGCAAUGGUUCAAGAACUCCGGCAGAACUUCAUGGAAGAGAACGGUGUCCCCGUCCUCAUUAGGGUUUUGGCCUUCGGGACCCCUCUUGCCCAAGCGAACGCUGUCGGUUGCCUCUGUAAUCUAUCAGCCGGCGAAGAAUCGCAGAGCAUAAAGCUAUCUAUCUUCAAAGAAGGCGCUUUGGAAUGCCUAAAGAACCACUGGGAAGCAAGCGGCAGCGGAGAUGUUCAAAACCUCGAGGCUGCAAUCGGCUUACUAGGAAAUCUGGCAUCUUUUAGGUACAUUGCUGAGAUCGUUGCCACCGCUGGUUUGCUUCCUCGUGUCAUCUCUGCACUGGAGAACAGCCAGCCAGGAACAAGAACAGAGGCAGCCAAGGCAGUCGCCGAAUUGGGUUUGGUCAUAGGGAGGACGAGGAAGGAAUUCGGGGAUGCGGUGCCUCUACUGGUUCGCAUGUUGGAAGCCAAAGCUGGGGAGGAGAAGGAAGCUGCCGCGAGGGCUUUGGCUUCUCUGAUGUCAUUCCCGGAGUACCAAAGAUUAUUGAGGAAGGAGGAGAAGGGGAUUGUUAAUGUGGUUCAGCUCCUUGAUCCUUUAGUUCGUGAUUUGGAUAAGAGGUAUGCGAUAUCGGUAUUGGCAUUGAUUUCGCAGUCGAGCAAAUGCAGGAAGCAGAUGGUGGCUGCAGGAGCUUGCGGGUACCUUCAGAGACUAGUGGGGAUGGAGGUGGAUGGUGCAAAGAAGCUUCUUGAGAACUUGGGAAGGGGAAAGAUACUGGGAGUGUUUCCAAGAACAUAAGCUCACAGAGCCAGCAAGAAGGAUUCUAAGUUUGAAGGGUGCUGCUCCCUGAUCUAACAUGCAUUUUACGCACAUAGUUUGCGUAGUUUGUGAUUACUUGCUGCAUCACCAACAGGAUCUUCGUAGGAAAGACCUUGUGUUCCAUACUCUUUUUAGGUCAAGUAACGUUGCCAAGUGAAUCUUUGCGUCGAAGAAGUCCUUUCGGAGGGAAUCUACUGUUGUUAGCCCUUUUUCUUUUUUACAUUUUAUUGAAGAAAGACAAUGGAUAGCUUGUCUAACCUUUCCACCAACCGCAAUAUACAACAAGGCAUCAUGGAGCCUUUGGGAACUAAUUAUUUGGUCUAUUACCACAAGAAGAAUCAAAGGUGAAGAAAUUAUGAAAGAUCUAUUGGCAUAUGAGAUACAAUUCUUUCAGGCUUGCCCACUGAAACAACAUUGGGAUCUGCCUCCUCUGAAUGUCCUGUCCUUGUGCCUCCUAAUGCAGCAGGUAUGUAUUAUUUUGGAUUGCUCACAAUAGCUCAGUUGCAAUUUCUUUUAGAACUUGAUUAUUAUGUCCAAAUUAAUUAGCAUAUGAAUUGUUGGGAAACCCCACUUAGCCACUUAUGGAUGGAAUAUUUUGAUAUUUGAUUGAUGAAUUUACUCUUGAAUGUCUUACUCGAUAAAACCUUGUGCUUCUUCCAUGUCCUGACAACAGAGUUCUAAGCUUAUACAGUGAUGUAUCUUUAUACUUGACAGCAAUACCCUUUUCUCCAUUUGCUGUAUUGAUUUGCUUGUACCAAACUUGACACUCACCUAUUGGCUUUGCCAAUCUCAUAACCACAGUUUUGCAUCAUCAUUAUGUUUUGUUUAAAAUGGAGGCCUGACAAGUGAUGAGUGAAGAUAUAGACAACAAUGAUACCUCUAAAAAGUUGUUCCUGUCAAUACUUGUUGUCUGAAGCACAAGCUGGCUGAUCUCAUCCCUGAAUACACUACUAUAUUUGCUUCUGGUACUCUCAGGCUUCCCUCACCUAAACCUCUGGUUCAUUAAUAAGAACUGGAUCAGGUCACUGCAUUCUUCUCAUCCAAGUG
Molecule: non-coding RNA, 5687 nt
Organism: Musa acuminata subsp. malaccensis (wild Malaysian banana)
Lineage: Eukaryota; Viridiplantae; Streptophyta; Magnoliopsida; Zingiberales; Musaceae
Source: RefSeq, a predicted model, not a curated record